CAGCAGCCCGAGUGGUGGUCGUUUUUAUUGGGCCUAAAGCGUCCGUAGCCGGUCUAGUAAAUCCUUGGAUAAAUCGUACAGCUUAACUGUACGGCUCCCGGGGAGACUGCUAGACUUGGGACUGGGAGAGGUCGGAGGUACUCCAGGGGUAGGGGUGAAAUCUUGUAAUCCUUGGGGGACCACCAGUGGCGAAGGCGUCCGACCAGAACGGGUCCGACGGUAAGGGACGAAGCCCUGGGUCGCGAACCGGAUUAGAUACCCGAGUAGUCC
RNAcentral lists this ribosomal RNA (270 nucleotides) under uncultured archaeon. RNAcentral describes it as "partial 16S ribosomal RNA". It matches the Rfam family "Archaeal small subunit ribosomal RNA", at positions 477 to 747 of the family's 1478-position model. The record is from RNAcentral.